Thalassophryne amazonica is the source of this 134-nucleotide long non-coding RNA. RefSeq lists it as uncharacterized. The transcript has 3 exons. NCBI's taxonomy places the organism in Eukaryota, Metazoa, Chordata, Actinopteri, Batrachoidiformes, Batrachoididae. The record is from RefSeq and is a predicted model, not a curated record.
GUCUUGCCUCACGUCCAGAUGAAACAAAAAAAAUAUUCUCCUUUAUCAUUGGUGGAAAAACACAUGACGUAAACCAAUCAAAACACUGAUUCCACGUGGAUUGAUCAGCGGCCCCACGUGGGGUUGUUGUUGAG